AUGGCCCUGUCGUUCACUUCCCCCUGGCCGUCCACAGCACCCCCCCCCCCGGGUGUACAGGAUCACGUGCACAGGCCCCUCUCUAGGUGCACAGGAUCACGUCCACAGGCUGCCCUUCUGGGUGCACAGGAUCAUGUCCACAGGCCCCUCCUCUGGGUGCACAGGAUCACGUCCACAGGAUGCCCCUCUGGGUGCACAGGAUCACGUACACAGCCCCCCCCCCCCGGGUGCACAGGAUCGCGUCCACAGGCCCCCCAUCCAGGUGCACAGGAUCAUGUCCACAGGCUGCCCCUCCGGGUAUACAGGAUCACAUCCACAGGCUCCCCAUCCAGGUGCACAGGAUCACGUCCACAGGAUGCCCUUCUGGGUGCACAGGAUCACGUCCACAGGCCCCUCCUCUGGGUGCACAGGAUCACGUCCACAGGAUGCCCCUCUGGGUGCACAGGAUCACGUACACAGCCCCCCCCCCGCUCCGGGUGCACAGGAUCACGUCCACAGGCCUCCCAUCUGGGUGCACAGGAUCAUGUCCACAGGCUGCCCCUCCGGGUAUACAGGAUCACAUCCACAGGCUCCCCGUCCAGGUGCACAGGAUCACAUGCACAGGCCCCCUCUCCGGGUGAACAGGAUCACACGGGCCCUCUUCUCUCCAAGGACCCGCUCAUUCCUGGCUCCCAGACAUGACAGCUGGCCCCGCAUGCGGCCCCGGACGUCAUCAGGGAGAUGCUGCAUCUUUCUCAGUUGCCUACUUUUGCACUUUUAAAUGUGUUCUAGCUUCUGCUUGUGCUGUGAUGGAUUGUUCCUCCGCUGACUGGGUGUUGGCUGCAGGAACACGCAUCAGUUCCUUCUCACGUGAACACUUGAGGAUUUUCUUUCCCCCGCGUCUCACCAUAAUGCCUACGACGUCUCUAAUCAUGGCUUUCUAACAAUCCACACAUCUGGCACGUCUGGGUUUAUGUCACUUCCACUACAGAACGAGACAUGUUGAGAGUGUUCCACUUUGCUGCAUCUAGCCCUGAAUUGCUACUGGCACGGUCCUCAUCGCCCUAUAAAACUGAAAAUUCAGCAUAAAAUCAAGAUAAGUUUGAACAGCUGAACUAUUAUGAUCACAUCCUAUCCGUCAUUGCCCACAGGCAGCCAGAGACAGGGCCGCUCUCAUGUGAUUGGGUGCUUCUGCCAUAAAACUGGGGUGGCCAACCGUACGGAGCCCAGCAGGAUGUGCCCCCCCCCCCAGGGGCCCGUCUGAUGUAGAGAGAGCCCUGUGGCCACCAGGGCUGGCGGGAGCACAACUCACCUCAGGGAUCACCCACCUGAGCUGCUCGCUGAGCUCCACCCACACCAGACGACCAGGCUGACCCCACGGGCCAGGCUGACCCCAUGCAGGGCAGGACUGCGACAACAAGGAACGCAC
Molecule: long non-coding RNA, 1408 nt
Filed under: Canis lupus familiaris (dog)
Lineage: Eukaryota; Metazoa; Chordata; Mammalia; Carnivora; Canidae
Description: lncRNA (ENSCAFG00040023060.1)
Source: RNAcentral